ACAGUAUGUACUCACAGAGCGUCUGG
RNAcentral lists this small RNA (26 nucleotides) under Bombyx mori (domestic silkworm). Its description in RNAcentral is "ovarian small RNA-11126". Lineage: Eukaryota; Metazoa; Arthropoda; Insecta; Lepidoptera; Bombycidae. The record is from RNAcentral.